UUCAGACCUUCAUGCUAACAUCCGAGGAAUGAGGAGCAAUCCAGCUAAAGAAAAUGAGAAGUAGAUCCAGUGAUAGGAGUGACGGUGCAGUGGAGUCUACAUCCAGCUGUUCCAGUUUAACAGGUACAGAUAAGAGAUA
This is a long non-coding RNA of Poeciliopsis prolifica (blackstripe livebearer), 139 nucleotides long. RefSeq lists it as uncharacterized. The transcript is spliced from 3 exons. Lineage: Eukaryota; Metazoa; Chordata; Actinopteri; Cyprinodontiformes; Poeciliidae. The record is from RefSeq and is a predicted model, not a curated record.